This is a long non-coding RNA of Corapipo altera (White-ruffed manakin), 939 nucleotides long. RefSeq lists it as uncharacterized. The record is from RefSeq and is a predicted model, not a curated record. The transcript is spliced from 3 exons. Lineage: Eukaryota; Metazoa; Chordata; Aves; Passeriformes; Pipridae.
ACCCAGAGCACUGACAGAAAACACUCUGAAAACACAGGAUAUUCAGAGUGGAGAGCUCAGAGGGCACCAUAGGCCAAGCUAAAGCCCGAGAUAGCAGUUCAGGUAAGAGUUGGAGGCUUCUGAAACUGAAAAUGAAAAGCCUUAAUGUGAUGUCACAGAUAAAGGAAUGGCAAAAGCAGGUGCUGAGGGUGGGGUGGUUGGCAGCUGUAUUCCCAAUAAACCAAAGAACUCGGGGUGACAAGCAGGAAAAGGGUGUCUUCCUGGUCAUUUGGAUAAGUCAAGUUUCACUGAAGAAAGGAAGAGUAAUUGCUUGCUGUGCUAAUAAGUGAAUAAAAAUGAGGAAAGGCAUCAUACAAAUUGUUAAAGAAAGGUAAGAACACGCACAGGGAUUAAAUCACCUGAGAAGGCAUCAGCAAGACUGAUUGUUUUUAAUGGACACAUGAGGAGGCAUGUUUCUGUUUUCCAAGUAAGUAGCUGGAAGGAAAAGUUUAGUGCAGCAGUAGGAGUUGUUAUUACAGAUUGAUUUAUGGAUACAGGGGAGGAUGUACUUAAGGAUCUCUGUUUGCUUCAUGUUGGCAGUUUUAUAUGAUGCAGUCCAUUAAUUUUUGAAGGCUCCAGUCCUGUUGGCUUGAAAGUAUCUUGUUUUUUUCAUGUUGAUUGGUAAAGCUUUUCAUGCCUGGGCUUGGUCUUGACUCCUUUAGGGGCUCAUUAUCUGUCUUUGGGGCAUCACCUCUUGGGGACAUCUUUUGGAAUACAGGAGAAGCCUUGGUGGCUUCUCCUUUACUGAUAAAGGACCAAAAGACAUUUAAUCUUUAUUUGAGAGCUCAAAUUCCAGAGAAGCUACCACAGGCCUUAUUUGCAAUGGUUAAUUAUUUUCACUUUUUAAAAAGGUGAACUUUACUUCCAGCCUUAGAUCUGGAGCUUCCAGCUGUUGAACUG